RNAcentral lists this ribosomal RNA (331 nucleotides) under uncultured eukaryote. RNAcentral describes it as "partial 18S ribosomal RNA". It matches the Rfam family "Eukaryotic small subunit ribosomal RNA", at positions 1470 to 1796 of the family's 1831-position model. The record is from RNAcentral.
CCCUUAGAUGUUCUGGGCCGCACGCGCGCUACACUGACGAAGUCAGCGAGCAUGUCCUACGCCGACAGGUGCGGGGAAUCUUGUCAAACUUCGUCGUGAUGGGGAUUGAUUAUUGAAAUUCUUGAUCAUCAACGAGGAAUUCCUAGUAAGCGCAAGUCAGCAGCUUGCGUUGAUUACGUCCCUGCCCUUUGUACACACCGCCCGUCGCUACUACCGAUUGAAUGGUUUAGUGAGAUCUUCGGAUUGGCGCCACUGCGGCUCAGCAAUGGGCUCGGUGGAUGCCGAAAAGUUGGUCAAACUUGAUCAUUUAGAGGAAGUAAAAGUCGUAACA